This is a long non-coding RNA of Octopus sinensis (East Asian common octopus), 115 nucleotides long. RefSeq lists it as uncharacterized. The record is from RefSeq and is a predicted model, not a curated record. The transcript has 4 exons. NCBI's taxonomy places the organism in Eukaryota, Metazoa, Mollusca, Cephalopoda, Octopoda, Octopodidae.
UUAAACACAAACUAAAAACAUAAAAGAUCAACAAAAAAAGUACUCCAUCUAAUGAGAGAUAAUUAUCGUUUAAUAUACACAAUUUACAAAAGAGCUACUAAUAGCGUCAUGCUUU